GAUUAUGGCUCAGGAUGAACGCUAGCGGCAGGCUUAACACAUGCAAGUCGAGGGGCAGCGUGGAGUAGCAAUACUCUGACGGCGACCGGCGAAAGGGUGAGUAACGCGUGAGCAACAUGCCCGUAGUUGGGGGAUAGUCGAUGGAAACGUCGCGUAAUACCCCGUAACAACAGAGGCCGCAUGACCUUUGUUUAAGAGAUUUAUUGUCUACGGAUUGGCUCGCGUACCAUUAGCUAGUUGGCGGGGUAACGGCCCACCAAGGCGACGAUGGUUAGGGGUUCUGAGAGGAAGGUCCCCCCACAUUGGAACUGAGACACGGUCCAGACUCCUACGGGAGGCAGCAGUGAGGAAUAUUGGUCAAUGGCCGAGAGGCUGAACCAGCCAUGCCGCGUGCGGGAUGACGGCCCUAUGGGUUGUAAACCGCUUUUGUUGGGGAGCAAUAAGGUUCACGUGUGGACUGAUGAGAGUACCCAGCGAAUAAGCAUCGGCUAACUCCGUGCCAGCAGCAGC
This 510-nucleotide ribosomal RNA is filed under the name uncultured bacterium. RNAcentral's name for it is "bacterial SSU rRNA". It matches the Rfam family "Bacterial small subunit ribosomal RNA", at positions 15 to 518 of the family's 1533-position model. The record is from RNAcentral.